Molecule: ribosomal RNA, 720 nt
Filed under: Mycobacterium sp. CRIB-64
Lineage: Bacteria; Bacillati; Actinomycetota; Actinomycetes; Mycobacteriales; Mycobacteriaceae
Description: bacterial SSU rRNA
Rfam family: Bacterial small subunit ribosomal RNA
Source: RNAcentral
UUGCGGUGUGGGAUGGGCCCGCGGCCUAUCAGCUUGUUGGUGGGGUGAUGGCCUACCAAGGCGACGACGGGUAGCCGGCCUGAGAGGGUGUCCGGCCACACUGGGACUGAGAUACGGCCCAGACUCCUACGGGAGGCAGCAGUGGGGAAUAUUGCACAAUGGGCGAAAGCCUGAUGCAGCGACGCCGCGUGGGGGAUGACGGCCUUCGGGUUGUAAACCUCUUUCACCAUCGACGAAGGUCCGGGUUUUCUCGGAUUGACGGUAGGUGGAGAAGAAGCACCGGCCAACUACGUGCCAGCAGCCGCGGUAAUACGUAGGGUGCGAGCGUUGUCCGGAAUUACUGGGCGUAAAGAGCUCGUAGGUGGUUUGUCGCGUUGUUCGUGAAAUCUCACGGCUUAACUGUGAGCGUGCGGGCGAUACGGGCAGACUUGAGUACUGCAGGGGAGACUGGAAUUCCUGGUGUAGCGGUGGAAUGCGCAGAUAUCAGGAGGAACACCGGUGGCGAAGGCGGGUCUCUGGGCAGUAACUGACGCUGAGGAGCGAAAGCGUGGGGAGCGAACAGGAUUAGAUACCCUGGUAGUCCACGCCGUAAACGGUGGGUACUAGGUGUGGGUUUCCUUCCUUGGGAUCCGUGCCGUAGCUAACGCAUUAAGUACCCCGCCUGGGGAGUACGGCCGCAAGGCUAAAACUCAAAGAAAUUGACGGGGGCCCGCACAAGCG